AAAUUAUAAUUUCAGCUACUCCAACGAGAGCUCUGGAAGAGCUUCACAAAUCGCUCUUCCACAGUUACCGAUCAUCAAAACCCACAUUUAUCUCUCCGCCGCUGCCGAGUUCACUCACCGACUCAGUCUCUCAUAGCCACAGCGACACCUUGAAAACCCUACAAUGGCCUUCCGUUUGCAAACAUGUGUCGGCCUUCACUUCCACCACCACGGGCUUCGCCGCAGCACCAGACGGUCGGCUUCCGCUGGGACGAAGCCUGGAGGAGAGCCGGAAGCUUUUGGAUCAAACCACCGCCGCGUCGGCCCUUCCUCGGCCGUUGGAUUUUGCAGGAAUCGAGGACGUGUCGGAGAUCGUGAAUUCUUCUGUCUUUAGUGAAUUGAUCACGAUUGCAUGUGUAUGUUGCAGGGAAGGAAUGUUUAUACAUACUAUGCGCUGAAGAUGUCUUAAAUAUUUUUGCUGGUGCCUCCCAUCCUCUUUUGAAUCCUUGGAACGAGCACCAAAGGACCACAUGUUAUCGGAUGCCCCUUAUAUGUGUCAAUGACAUUCAACUUCACCAGCAGGGUUGGAUUCCACAAGCCCCAUUCCCUUCAAUGGGUACCAAUAUAACUGCUUCCAAUCAGGCUCUAAAUUCUCCUCCAAUUUUAGAGUUUUCAGGGAAGUGUAGGUAAAAUUGGAGUGGCAUCUGAUGAGAAUCCCCAAUAACAAGAAAGAAGCCGAAGCCAAGUUUAAGCAGAUCUAGGUUCUAAGUGAUCCGCAGAAAAGAGCAACAAUAUGGUGAAGACGGGCUAAAGGGUCAGGUGCCACAUCCACCAGACGGCGGCUCUACCUUUUCUCAACCGGAGACUGCCCGACUACAUUUAGAUUCAAUCCGGACUAUUAUUCUCCUCCAAUUUUACCCGGACUUGGUGUCCGGUAAGAAAAUGUACCUGAAAACUCUAAAAUUCCUGGUUGGGAGCCGUUAUAUUGUUACCCAUUGAAGGGAAUGGGGCUUGUGGAAUCCAACUCUGCUGGUGAAGUUGAAUGUCAUUGACAGAAGAGGGCAUCUGAUACCCUGUGGCCAUUUGGUGCCCAUUCCAAGGAUUCAAAAAAGGAUUGGAAGCAGCAGCAAAAAUUUUACAACAUUUGUAUAAUUAAGAAAAUAAUUUUUGUAAUAAUUUGUAACAAAGACAUUUAUGUAAAUUAUAUAUGGAAUGAUGGAAACAAGAAAUUUACUUGUAGUUUGGAUAAAGAUCCCUUCGAAUAUGUCAGAUAAAUGAGGUUACUAAAUAUAUGGAUUGUUCAACCCAAUUUGAAGUAGUUGCAAC
Long non-coding RNA from Cornus florida, 1305 nucleotides. RefSeq lists it as uncharacterized. The record is from RefSeq and is a predicted model, not a curated record. NCBI's taxonomy places the organism in Eukaryota, Viridiplantae, Streptophyta, Magnoliopsida, Cornales, Cornaceae. The transcript is spliced from 3 exons.